RNAcentral lists this small RNA (27 nucleotides) under Bombyx mori (domestic silkworm). RNAcentral describes it as "ovarian small RNA-27966". The record is from RNAcentral. Lineage: Eukaryota; Metazoa; Arthropoda; Insecta; Lepidoptera; Bombycidae.
UCCUGUACACCUCGUACAGUCGGUCCU